Molecule: ribosomal RNA, 515 nt
Filed under: uncultured bacterium
Lineage: Bacteria
Description: partial 16S ribosomal RNA
Rfam family: Bacterial small subunit ribosomal RNA
Source: RNAcentral
GAUGAACGCUGGCGGCGUGCCUAAUACAUGCAAGUCGAGCGAAUGGAUUAAGAGCUUGCUCUUAUGAAGUUAGCGGCGGACGGGUGAGUAACACGUGGGUAACCUGCCCAUAAGACUGGGAUAACUCCGGGAAACCGGGGCUAAUACCGGAUAACAUUUUGAACCGCAUGGUUCGAACUUGAAAGGCGGCUUCGGCUGUCACUUAUGGCUGGACCCGCGUCGCAUUAGCUAGUUGGUGAGGUAACGGCUCACCAAGGCAACGAUGCGUAGCCGACCUGAGAGGGUGAUCGGCCACACUGGGACUGAGACACGGCCCAGACUCCUACGGGAGGCAGCAGUAGGGAAUCUUCCGCAAUGGACGAAAGUCUGACGGAGCAACGCCGCGUGAGUGAUGAAGGCUUUCGGGUCGUAAAACUCUGUUGUUAGGGAAGAACAAGUGCUAGUUGAAUAAGCUGGCACCUUGACGGUACCUAACCAGAAAGCCACGGCUAACUACGUGCCAGCAGCCGCGGUAA